CCCGGUGGCCAUGGCGGGGAGGAAAUACCCGUUCCCAUUCCGAACACGGAAGUCAAGCUCCCUUGCGCCGAUGAUACUGCUUAUCAAGCGGGAAAGUAGGCAGCUGCCGGGC
Non-coding RNA from Treponema socranskii subsp. socranskii, 112 nucleotides. Lineage: Bacteria; Pseudomonadati; Spirochaetota; Spirochaetia; Treponematales; Treponemataceae. The record is from Rfam.